RNAcentral lists this unclassified non-coding RNA (266 nucleotides) under Hevea brasiliensis (rubber tree). The record is from RNAcentral. Lineage: Eukaryota; Viridiplantae; Streptophyta; Magnoliopsida; Malpighiales; Euphorbiaceae.
CAGAAAACUAUCUUACCUUAUACGCGUUUCCACGGAGGAUCUAGAGAAAGAGCGGGGUGCUGUUUUAGAAGAGUACAUAGGAGGGCGCAAUGCCUCAGGACGGAUGCAGGACGCACACUGGGUUUUAAUGUUUGAAGGUUCAAAGUAUGCAGAGCGUCUACCAAUUGGGUUGGAAAAGGUGAUUCGGACAGUUACUCCCGAGACUGUGAAGCAGUUUUAUCAGAAAUGGUACCAUUUACACAACAUGGCUGUUGUUGCUGUUGGGG